This 587-nucleotide ribosomal RNA is filed under the name uncultured bacterium. Its description in RNAcentral is "bacterial SSU rRNA". It matches the Rfam family "Bacterial small subunit ribosomal RNA", at positions 337 to 916 of the family's 1533-position model. The record is from RNAcentral.
UCCUACGGGAGGCAGCAGUGGGGAAUAUUGCACAAUGGGCGCAAGCCUGAUGCAGCCAUGCCGCGUGUGUGAAGAAGGCUUUCGGGUUGUAAAGCACUUUCAGUUGUGAGGAAAGGUUAGUAGUUAAUACCUGCUAGCUGUGACGUUAGCAACAGAAGAAGCACCGGCUAACUCCGUGCCAGCAGCCGCGGUAAUACGGAGGGUGCGAGCGUUAAUCGGAAUUACUGGGCGUAAAGCGCACGCAGGCGGUUUGUUAAGCUAGAUGUGAAAGCCCCGAGCUCAACUUGGGAUGGUCAUUUAGAACUGGCAGACCAGAGUCUUGGAGAGGGGAGUGGAAUUUCUAGUGUAGCGGUGAAAUGCGUAGAUAUUAGAAGGAACAUCAGUGGCGAAGGCGACUCCCUGGCCAAAGACUGACGCUCAUGUGCGAAAGUGUGGGUAGCGAACAGGAUUAGAUACCCUGGUAGUCCACACCGUAAACGCUGUCUACUAGCUGUUUGUGAGUUUAACUCGUGAGUAGCGAAGCUAACGCGCUAAGUAGACCGCCUGGGGAGUACGGCCGCAAGGUUAAAACUCAAAUGAAUUGACGG